RNAcentral lists this ribosomal RNA (89 nucleotides) under Bacillus halotolerans. Its description in RNAcentral is "partial 16S ribosomal RNA". It matches the Rfam family "Bacterial small subunit ribosomal RNA", at positions 1452 to 1533 of the family's 1533-position model. The record is from RNAcentral. Lineage: Bacteria; Bacillati; Bacillota; Bacilli; Caryophanales; Bacillaceae.
GCCGCCGAAGGUGGGACAGAUGAUUGGGGUGAAGUCGUAACAAGGUAGCCGUAUCGGAAGGUGCGGCUGGAUCACCUCCUUUCUAAGGA